RNAcentral lists this ribosomal RNA (267 nucleotides) under uncultured bacterium. RNAcentral describes it as "partial 16S ribosomal RNA". It matches the Rfam family "Bacterial small subunit ribosomal RNA", at positions 29 to 289 of the family's 1533-position model. The record is from RNAcentral.
ACGAACGCUGGCGGCGUGCUUAACACAUGCAAGUCGAACGGAGAUAGUUUGAAAGCUUGCUGAUAACUAUCUUAGUGGCGCACGGAUGAGUAACACGUGGGCAACCUGCCCGGAAGACUGGGAUAACACCUCGAAAGGGGUGCUAAUACCGGAUACCUUCACGAAGUCGCAUGACUUUGUGCAGAAAGAAAUUCGCUUCCGGAUGGGCCCGCGUCCCAUUAGCUAGUUGGCGAGGUAACGGCUCACCAAGGCGACGAUGGGUAGCUG